Molecule: ribosomal RNA, 250 nt
Filed under: uncultured bacterium
Lineage: Bacteria
Description: partial 16S ribosomal RNA
Rfam family: Bacterial small subunit ribosomal RNA
Source: RNAcentral
UACGUAGGUGGCGAGCGUUGUCCGGAAUCAUUGGGCGUAAAGAGCGCGUAGGUGGCUUGUCAGGUCUGAUGUGAAAUCCUGGGGCUCAACUCCAGAACUGCAUCGGAAACCGGCUUGCUAGAGUCUGGGAGAGGAGAGUGGAAUUCCUGGUGUAGCGGUGAAAUGCGUAGAUAUCAGGAGGAACACCGGUAGCGAAGGCGGCUCUCUGGAACAGUACUGACACUGAGGCGCGAAAGCUAGGGGAGCGAAC